This is a long non-coding RNA of Hemiscyllium ocellatum (epaulette shark), 208 nucleotides long. RefSeq lists it as uncharacterized. NCBI's taxonomy places the organism in Eukaryota, Metazoa, Chordata, Chondrichthyes, Orectolobiformes, Hemiscylliidae. The record is from RefSeq and is a predicted model, not a curated record. The transcript is spliced from 3 exons.
UGAAUUCCGAGACAACACAAAUGGCAUUACCAGCUUAGACAACUAUUCAUUGGACAGCAACAGCCUCUAUGUAGAUGGUUAUCAUGAAACAACACCUUUACCAACAUUACCACCAGCAUUGACAACAACACACACUCCAAAUGUGACAGAAAAGCCCAUUGAAUUUAAUGUGACCUUCACAAUCACCAACCUUAAGUUUUCACAAAGU